Molecule: unclassified non-coding RNA, 313 nt
Filed under: plant metagenome
Description: partial contains 5.8S ribosomal RNA, internal transcribed spacer 2, and large subunit ribosomal RNA
Rfam family: 5.8S ribosomal RNA (bases 1-105)
Source: RNAcentral
GAAAUGCGAUACGUAGUGUGAAUUGUAGAAUUCAGUGAAUCAUCGAAUCUUUGAACGCACAUUGCGCCCUUUGGUAUUCCAAAGGGCAUGCCUGUUCGAGCGUCAUUUGUACCCUCAAGCUUUGCUUGGUGUUGGGCGUUUUUUGUCUUUGGCUCGCCCAAAGACUCGCCUUAAAACGAUUGGCAGCCGGCCUACUGGUUUCGCAGCGCAGCACAUUUUUGCGCUUGCAAUCAGCAAAAGAGGACGGCAAUCCAUCAAGACUCCUUCUCACGUUUGACCUCGGAUCAGGUAGGGAUACCCGCUGAACUUAAGC